GGGACACACCAUAAGGGAGGGAAAAGCUGCUGCAAAACUUGCAAGCCUUAGCUUGGAUCCCAUCGUGCUGCUCACAGACAGCUGAUGCGCAGCGCUCGGGCUACUGAGACCCAGAUCCCUCUCUCAUGUUAUGCUGUGUUGAAGCCUCUAGGACAACAUUUUGGCCUGGAUUCAGGAAGCCUGUUAAGGAUUUCAGCCCGGAGAGGUUGGAGGCCGGGAUGGGCGAGAUGGAGCUGGGCUGGGAACAGCCGUGUGGUGAGGUUGCAGGAGGCUGCAGGACCUUCCCAGCAGGACAACCUCUGUGUCUGUCCGGCCCUCCAUCCAGCCCUGCUGUGUCCCGAGGGCUGCAGGAGACAUGAGCUCACUGCUGAGACGUGCCAAACCAAGCCCGCCGGGCGAGGCUGCUCCCAGCUCCACGCUGACAUCUGCCAGAGAUUUCCAGCACUGCUGUCUCGCUGCUUCUCUGCAGAACGCAGCCCCUGAGCGUCCCAACAUCCUGCUCCUCCUCUGGGCCAGAGGCAUCCACAUCUACAUCCCCAUUGCUAUCCCAAUCCACAUCCCCAUCCCCACCUGCAUCCCCAUCCCCGCCCACAUCAGCAUCCUAACACCUGAACUGGUUGCCAUAGAAACCACAGGUCUGUCUGUCUGCCCGUGCCAGGGGUCAAUGCGCUGCUCCCCCUGGCACAGCUAUUUGUGGUCCACAGACAGGGAAACAGGGGCACGCUGGAGGCAUGGAGCAUCCACACAAGGAGGACGGUGCAUCCUGGGAGUGAAUGGGAAAGUGUAGCUCUGCCAGAAGUUAUAGCAUUUGGGACAUCAACGUGAGCAGAGGGCGAAAGCUGGAAAUCAUUACAUGGCACAACAGAAGGCAAAACAUUCACCUGGAGAAGGCAAUUAGCUCAGCAGGUCUUUUAGUGUCAUUAAGGGAUUAUUGUCCUGUUAUUACAUGUCCCAUCAUUAAGGGAUUAUUGUCUCAGUGGUUCCUUGACCUCCUGGGCAUGGCUGGAUGGUGUCACAUCAGACCCCAUAGAAGGUGUUGUUAGGGUGGGUGGGGUAGUGUGAGUUGUCCUCUCUUUCAGAGACCACCAGCAAGGCAAAUUGUUGCGUUAGGGAUGUGACCAAUUGGUUUGGAGGUGUCCAAGGCCAAGUUGAAUGGGAAACCUCAUCCAGUGCUUGAUCAAGCAGUCUGCAACCCUGCCUACGGCAUGGAGAUUGGAAGUGGACAGUCUCUGGGGUCCCUUCCAACACAAGCCAUUCUAUGAUUUCUUGCCCACGUGGUCCUAUGGGCAUCCCAGUGACCAUAUAUAGCCAACUCUCUGCUCUCCACCUCCUAUAAAAGAUGCUGGCUGCUGGUUUCCGUGCUGCCAGCCGUCCCGGAGCUGUGCGUUCUGCAUUUCCCUUUUAGGAAGCAAGAUUCUUGGACAUAGGGCAGUAAAAAGAAAACAUCUCUCAGCUCUUAUUUAUCACCUCUCCUUAUAACUGACCACUCUCUAAAUAGAGGGACCGCUUGCAGCCCAGGAGUGCAGCACAACGGAGCCAGAGGUGCCUUUGGCCCCUGCUGUCCUGGAUGGACUUCCAUGCAGAUCUCCCCACCUCGCUGCUAUUUAUGGGGUCAGCUCCAGGCAAGGAACCCAGCUGAAGUCCUGGUGCUUACUGCUCACCGGCCAAGCCAAACAGCGGAGUGAUGCAAUAUUGCACAAACUUUCCAGCCAGGGAAAUUAAUCUUUGCAAUAGAGG
Long non-coding RNA from Gallus gallus (chicken), 1737 nucleotides. The record is from Ensembl. Lineage: Eukaryota; Metazoa; Chordata; Aves; Galliformes; Phasianidae.